UUGCGCAAUGGACGGAAGUCCGACGCAGCGACGCCGCGUGGGUGAAGAAGGCCUUCGGGUUGUAAAGCCCUUUUCUGGGGGAAGAGCAAGGUCGGUACCCCAGGAAUAAGUGUCGGCUAACUACGUGCCAGCAGCCGCGGUAAUACGUAGGACACGAGCGUUAUCCGGAUUUACUGGGCGUAAAGCGCCUGGAGGUGGACGAACAAGUCGGCUGUGAAAGCCCUGGGCUUAACCCGGGGAGGCCAGGCGAUAAUGUUCGAGUGGAGGGUGACAGAGGGGAGUGGAAUUCCCGGUGUAGCGGUAAAAUGCGCAGAUAUCGGGAGGAACACCAGUGGCGCAGGCGGCUCCCUGGGUCAUACCUGACACUGAGAGGCU
Molecule: ribosomal RNA, 375 nt
Filed under: uncultured bacterium
Lineage: Bacteria
Description: bacterial SSU rRNA
Rfam family: Bacterial small subunit ribosomal RNA
Source: RNAcentral